UUAAGUGACUAAGCGUACACGGUGGAUGCCCUGGCAGUCAGAGGCGAUGAAGGACGUGCUAAUCUGCGAAAAGCGUCGGUAAGGUGAUAUGAACCGUUAUAACCGGCGAUGUCCGAAUGGGGAAACCCAGUGCAAUUCGUUGCACUAUCGUUAACUGAAUACAUAGGUUAACGAGGCGAACCGGGGGAACUGAAACAUCUAAGUACCCCGAGGAAAAGAAAUCAACCGAGAUUCCCCCAGUAGCGGCGAGCGAACGGGGAGCAGCCCAGAGUCUGAAUCAGCUUGUGUGUUAGUGGAACGGUCUGGAAAGUCCGACGGUACAGGGUGAUAGUCCCGUACACCAAAAUGCACAGGCUGUGAACUCGAAGAGUAGGGCGGGACACGUGGUAUCCUGUCUGAAUAUGGGGGGACCAUCCUCCAAGGCUAAAUACUCCUGACUGACCGAUAGUGAACCAGUACCGUGAGGGAAAGGCGAAAAGAACCCCGGCGAGGGGAGUGAAAAAGAACCUGAAACCGUGUACGUACAAGCAGUGGGAGCACCUUCGGGUGUGACUGCGUACCUUUUGUAUAAUGGGUCAGCGACUUAUAUUCUGUAGCAAGGUUAACCGUAUAGGGGAGCCGCAGGGAAACCGAGUCUUAACUGGGCGUUAAGUUGCAGGGUAUAGACCCGAAACCCGGUGAUCUAGCCAUGGGCAGGUUGAAGGUUGGGUAACACUAACUGGAGGACCGAACCGACUAAUGUUGAAAAAUUAGCGGAUGACUUGUGGCUGGGGGUGAAAGGCCAAUCAAACCGGGAGAUAGCUGGUUCUCCCCGAAAGCUAUUUAGGUAGCGCCUCGUGAACUCAUCUUCGGGGGUAGAGCACUGUUUCGGCUAGGGGGUCAUCCCGACUUACCAACCCGAUGCAAACUACGAAUACCGAAGAAUGUUAUCACGGGAGACACACGGCGGGUGCUAACGUCCGUCGUGAAGAGGGAAACAACCCAGACCGCCAGCUAAGGUCCCAAAGUCAUGGUUAAGUGGGAAACGAUGUGGGAAGGCACAGACAGCCAGGAUGUUGGCUUAGAAGCAGCCAUCAUUUAAAGAAAGCGUAAUAGCUCACUGGUCGAGUCGGCCUGCGCGGAAGAUGUAACGGGGCUAAACCAUGCACCGAAGCUGCGGCAGCGACACUAUGUGUUGUUGGGUAGGGGAGCGUUCUGUAAGCCUGCGAAGGUGUGCUGUGAGGCAUGCUGGAGGUAUCAGAAGUGCGAAUGCUGACAUAAGUAACGAUAAAGCGGGUGAAAAGCCCGCUCGCCGGAAGACCAAGGGUUCCUGUCCAACGUUAAUCGGGGCAGGGUGAGUCGACCCCUAAGGCGAGGCCGAAAGGCGUAGUCGAUGGGAAACAGGUUAAUAUUCCUGUACUUGGUGUUACUGCGAAGGGGGGACGGAGAAGGCUAUGUUAGCCGGGCGACGGUUGUCCCGGUUUAAGCAUGUAGGCUGGUUAUCCAGGCAAAUCCGGAUAAUCAAGGCUGAGGUGUGAUGACGAGGCACUACGGUGCUGAAGUAACAAAUGCCCUGCUUCCAGGAAAAGCCUCUAAGCAUCAGGUAACAUCAAAUCGUACCCCAAACCGACACAGGUGGUCAGGUAGAGAAUACCAAGGCGCUUGAGAGAACUCGGGUGAAGGAACUAGGCAAAAUGGUGCCGUAACUUCGGGAGAAGGCACGCUGGUGUGUAGGUGAAGUCCCUGCGGAUGGAGCUGAGACCAGUCGAAGAUACCAGCUGGCUGCAACUGUUUAUUAAAAACACAGCACUGUGCAAACACGAAAGUGGACGUAUACGGUGUGACGCCUGCCCGGUGCCGGAAGGUUAAUUGAUGGGGUUAUCCGUAAGGAGAAGCUCUUGAUCGAAGCCCCGGUAAACGGCGGCCGUAACUAUAACGGUCCUAAGGUAGCGAAAUUCCUUGUCGGGUAAGUUCCGACCUGCACGAAUGGCGUAAUGAUGGCCAGGCUGUCUCCACCCGAGACUCAGUGAAAUUGAACUCGCUGUGAAGAUGCAGUGUACCCGCGGCAAGACGGAAAGACCCCGUGAACCUUUACUAUAGCUUGACACUGAACAUUGAGCCUUGAUGUGUAGGAUAGGUGGGAGGCUUUGAAGCGUGGACGCCAGUCUGCGUGGAGCCAACCUUGAAAUACCACCCUUUAAUGUUUGAUGUUCUAACGUUGGCCCCUGACCGGGGUUGCGGACAGUGUCUGGUGGGUAGUUUGACUGGGGCGGUCUCCUCCCAAAGCGUAACGGAGGAGCACGAAGGUUAGCUAAUCCUGGUCGGACAUCAGGAGGUUAGUGCAAUGGCAUAAGCUAGCUUGACUGCGAGCGUGACGGCGCGAGCAGGUGCGAAAGCAGGUCAUAGUGAUCCGGUGGUUCUGAAUGGAAGGGCCAUCGCUCAACGGAUAAAAGGUACUCCGGGGAUAACAGGCUGAUACCGCCCAAGAGUUCAUAUCGACGGCGGUGUUUGGCACCUCGAUGUCGGCUCAUCACAUCCUGGGGCUGAAGUAGGUCCCAAGGGUAUGGCUGUUCGCCAUUUAAAGUGGUACGCGAGCUGGGUUUAGAACGUCGUGAGACAGUUCGGUCCCUAUCUGCCGUGGGCGCUGGAGAAUUGAGGGGGGCUGCUCCUAGUACGAGAGGACCGGAGUGGACGCAUCACUGGUGUUCGGGUUGUCAUGCCAAUGGCACUGCCCGGUAGCUAAAUGCGGAAGAGAUAAGUGCUGAAAGCAUCUAAGCACGAAACUUGCCCCGAGAUGAGUUCUCCCUGAGACUUUAAGUCUCCUGAAGGAACGUUAAAGACGAUGACGUUGAUAGGCCGGGUGUGUAAGCGCAGCGAUGCGUUGAGCUAACCGGUACUAAUGAACCGUGAGGCUUAACCUU
RNAcentral lists this ribosomal RNA (2900 nucleotides) under Klebsiella pneumoniae. Its description in RNAcentral is "23S ribosomal RNA". It matches the Rfam family "Bacterial large subunit ribosomal RNA". The record is from RNAcentral. Lineage: Bacteria; Pseudomonadati; Pseudomonadota; Gammaproteobacteria; Enterobacterales; Enterobacteriaceae.